This 433-nucleotide ribosomal RNA is filed under the name uncultured bacterium. RNAcentral describes it as "partial 16S ribosomal RNA". It matches the Rfam family "Bacterial small subunit ribosomal RNA", at positions 29 to 507 of the family's 1533-position model. The record is from RNAcentral.
AACGAACGCUGGCGGCAUGCCUAACACAUGCAAGUCGAACGAGACCUUCGGGUCUAGUGGCGCACGGGUUCGUAACGCGUGGGAACCUGCCCUUAGGUUCGGAAUACCUCCCCGAAAGGGGUGCUAAUACCGGAUAAUGUCUUCGGACCAAUGAUUUAUCGCCUUUGGAUGGGCCCGCGUUGGAUUAGCUAGUUGGUAGGGUAAAAGCCUACCAAGGCGACGAUCGAUAGCUGGUCUGAGAGGAUGAUCAGUCACACUGGGACUGAGACACGGCCCAGACUCCUACGGGAGGCAGCAGUGGGGAAUAUUGGAAAAUGGGCGAAAGCAUGAUGCAGCAAUGACGCGUGAGUGAUGAAGGCCUUAGGGUUGUAAAGCUCUUUUAACCGGGAUGAUAAUGACAGUACCGGGAGAAUAAGCUACGGCUAACUCCGUG